GAUGAACGCUGGCGGCGUGCUUAACACAUGCAAGUCGAACGUGAGAGGUAGCAAUAUCUUGAAAGUGGCGAACGGUGAGUAACACGUAGGUGACCUGCCUCGGAGUGGGGGAUAACAGUUAGAAAUGACUGCUAAUACCGCAUGAAUCCACGGGAUUGGGAAAUUCGGUGGAGAAAACUCUGGUGCUUCGAGAGGGCCUGCGGUCGAUUAGCUAGUUGGCGGGUAACGGCCCACCAAGGCGACGAUCGAUAGCUGGUCUGAGAGGACGAUCAGCCACACGGGAACUGAGACACGGUCCCGACUCCUACGGGGGGCAGCAGUGAGGAAUAUUGGGCAAUGGGCGGAAGCCUGACCCAGCAACGCCGCGUGAAGGAAUGAAGGCCUUCGGGUUGUAAACUCCUUUUG
RNAcentral lists this ribosomal RNA (405 nucleotides) under uncultured bacterium. RNAcentral describes it as "bacterial SSU rRNA". It matches the Rfam family "Bacterial small subunit ribosomal RNA", at positions 28 to 438 of the family's 1533-position model. The record is from RNAcentral.